UGAGUAACCUGCCCUUCACUCUGGGAUAACUCCGGGAAACCGGGGCUAAUACUGGAUAUGACUCGAACAGGCAUCUGUUUCGGGUGGAAAGAUUUAUUGGUGGAGGAUGGACUCGCGGCCUAUCAGCUUGUUGGUGAGGUAAUGGCUCACCAAGGCGACGACGGGUAGCCGGCCUGAGGAGGGCGAUCGGCCACGACCCGGGGACUGAGACCACCGGCCCAGACCUCCGUACGGGGAGGCA
Molecule: ribosomal RNA, 241 nt
Filed under: uncultured bacterium
Lineage: Bacteria
Description: partial 16S ribosomal RNA
Rfam family: Bacterial small subunit ribosomal RNA
Source: RNAcentral